UGGGGAAUAUUGCGCAAUGGUCGAAAGACUGACGCAGCGACGCCGCGUGGAGGAUGACGCCCUUCGGGGUGUAAACUCCUGUUGCUCGGGACGAACCGUGGAAUUCAUUCCACCUGACGGUACCGAGUGAGGAAGCACCGGCUAACUCUGUGCCAGCAGCCGCGGUAAUACAGAGGGUGCGAGCGUUGUCCGGAAUCACUGGGCGUAAAGGGCGCGUAGGCGGCUUGGCAAGCGUGCGGUGAAAGCUCGGGGCUCAACCCCGAGUCGGCCGUGCGAACUGCUGGGCUUGAGCACAGUAGAGGCAGAUGGAAUUCCGGGUGUAGCGGUGGAAUGCGUAGAGAUCCGGAAGAACACCGGUGGCGAAGGCGGUCUGCUGGGCUGUGUCUGACGCUGAGGCGCGACAGCGUGGGGAGCAAACAGG
This 421-nucleotide ribosomal RNA is filed under the name uncultured bacterium. Its description in RNAcentral is "bacterial SSU rRNA". It matches the Rfam family "Bacterial small subunit ribosomal RNA", at positions 355 to 776 of the family's 1533-position model. The record is from RNAcentral.